AACCUAGCACACCUGCGGUGUGUACCUGCGGAGGGAUCAUCAUUGAAUCCAUUUCUACUCACCCUUGUGAACUGUAUGUGAACCAGGUAUUUUGGCAAGGCAGCGUUUAAUGAGGCCGGGUGUACGCAUCCCGCCUCGCUAGGCGCGCACCAGGGCUCUGUGCCUUGGUACCUUGCCAAAUGCCUAUUUUAAAAUAACGCGUAAACACUAUUUAUCAGAAAAUUCUUUUAAAAUUAAAAA
This 240-nucleotide unclassified non-coding RNA is filed under the name soil metagenome. Its description in RNAcentral is "partial contains 5.8S ribosomal RNA, internal transcribed spacer 2, and large subunit ribosomal RNA". The record is from RNAcentral.